CAUCAUCAUUCAUUCAUUCAAUGUUUCAUAUUUUUUGACAGUUAUUUAUUUAUUAUUUCUAAAAAACUGCGCUAAUUACUAAUUAUAAAAGAAACAAAUACAAAGGUGUCAUUAACUUAGUUUAUAUAUUACCAAGACUCUUUGUUAAUGAAACUUAUACGCGCAUGACAAUCACAGAAAAAUUCAAUGCGCAUAGUCAAAACAUUGCGCAUUUCGUAGGCUAACCUCACCGAGUCGAUAUACCGAUUACCGAGGGUUUGUGGCUAGCAGAGAAAGCCUUUCACUGCACCUUAGUGCUAUAUUUUUGUGCUUAGUGUGAGUGCUAAGUGACUUCAAGAGGAUUUUCUCCCAGUAAACCGCCUACCAUAAAAUUACAAGAUGCCGUCAGCAGCGCCCCCUGCCGAGAAUGGCGCGCCGCGCAGCGAGCUCGAGCAACUCCAACUACGAGCCGGCCAGGUUACUGAUGAUUCCCUGGAAUCUACGCGGCGUAUGAUGCAACUAUGUGAGGAGAGCAAGGAGGCCGGCAUUCGUACUCUGGUCGCUCUAGACGACCAGGGAGAACAAUUGGACAGGAUCGAGGAGGGCAUGGACCAAAUUAACGCGGACAUGCGCGAGGCUGAGAAGAAUCUCUCCGGGAUGGAGAAAUGUUGCGGCAUCUGCGUACUGCCGUGCAACAAGGGGGCGUCGUUCAAGGAGGACGACGGCACAUGGAAGGGCAACGACGACGGCAAGGUGGUGAACAACCAGCCGCAGCGGGUCAUGGACGAGCGCAACGGUAUCGGCCCACAGGCGGGAUACAUUGGAAGGAUAACGAACGACGCUCGCGAGGACGAGAUGGAGGAGAACAUGGGGCAAGUGAACACCAUGAUCGGCAACCUGCGCAACAUGGCCAUCGACAUGGGCUCCGAGCUGGAGAACCAGAACCGGCAGAUCGACCGCAUCAACCGCAAGGGCGAAUCGAACGAAACGAGGAUAACGCUCGCCAACCAGCGCGCACACGAGCUCCUCAAGUAAACGCUGCCGGCGCACACAAACACACACACUGUCUCGUGGUUCGGCCGGUUGCGUAACUUAGACCGUAUGAUAGACAGACAUCUUAAUCAGUAUUCCAAAUAUAAACUAGCCUAUAUUUAUAAACAAUGAUUAGAAUUUAAGCAUCAAACUACCUUCAAAUAUAUACGAACAAUGCUCACUAUCUAGCCCCGAAAUAAGCAUAGAUUGUGUUAUGGGUGCUAAGACAGCGAUUUCAUCAUAUACAUUUGUACUACAAAGUAAAGUGGACCUUAACGCAACUGUUUAAAGUUCACUUUACUUUGAAGUUGGAUUGAUGUUUAAAUCUUAAUUCAUGUUUUAAUGGCCGAUAUUGUAGCUUGAUUUAUUUUCUAUGUUUGUGUUUGAUUCAAAAUGUGUUGCUAAUUUAAUUGUGCAUUAAUUUUCUUAUUGUAACAUGAACUUUGUGAGAAGAAUAACCAAUUAAAUAACUAAACCAGAAGGACCACUCUUUUUUGUGUGAGAUGUACCUAAUUCAGAUAUUCAUAAAUUUCUAACUGAACUAAAAGUGAUAGUAUAUCUUUUUCUACAUUAAAUUUUGUGAGAAGGGUAGCUAACUCGGUUUCUCAUUAUUUUCUAACUGAAAUAAAUUGUUAUUAUCCUUUUCUACAUUAAACUGUAUGAAAGGGAUAGCUAAUUAAGUGGUGCAUACAUUUUAACUGCACUAAACUAACCAGUCGAAUACUUUACAGUUAAUUAAUACAUAUGACUGUGUAAGUUUAUCCUUUUCUACAGUAAAGAGCACAGCAGUCUUGUUUUGUUUAUUGGCAUUGUUUUGUUUUGUGACAAAAGUAAUAAACAAUUAUAUUCAACUCUAAAGUAAGGGUAACAUAUUUCUUUUUUCACUAAAUAUUAGACAGCCAAUUACGUGAAGAGUUUAUCAGUGUGCUAAGUAUUAUUACACUAUAUAUGUGUUUGUUUAGGCCACGCCCCCGGGUACGCUGAUCAAUACAAAGAAUUGGCACUUUAUAAAUCUAGUUUAAAUAAAUAAUAAUACUUUAUUUAUCUAAACUACAUUAUCACAAUUAGUUUGAAGCCCUGCCUCCUGUACUAGUUAUGUGUCACAAGAAGCAGUGUCUUCCCAUUUUCAAUGCUAGCUUUAAAAAAAAAACAAAAAGAAAUUACCUCUUGUGUCUGUGGUAAAGACUGUGAGAAGGAUAGAAUUUUAAUAUAUCGGUCUCAUUUAGUUUAGAUGUUUAUGGUAUAUCUGAAUAGGCACUAAUACCUACGUGUUUUAUAAAGCUUUCUUUUAUUUAUAUUUAAAACAUAAUUCGUAAAGUAGAUGAUAGAUAGACAAUGUGUUACUAUAUUGUUUUGCAAUUUUUUUUUUAUGUAUUUAAUCUGAUUAAUGUGUCGUGUUGUAUAACCUACUUAGUGUCAAACUUACUAAUUUAAUAAACUCAGCAACCGGUCAAGUUAUUACAUAGCGUCUACUAUAUUCCGAUAAAUUUUAAAUUAAUUAAAAAUAUUUGAGAACAUCUUAUAUUUAAAAAAAAAAACUAUUUACUAUUGUAAUGAAUAUAUUACUUUGCUUUCAUGUAAUCCAAACGCUCAACAUAUAAAACAUACGUUUGGUGCUCCAUUUUUGUAGACCAAAUUAAAAAAAAAAACUACAUACAUUAACCAUUCUAAUAUUUUAUCCGGUAGUUGUAUAGCGAGUUGAUAUAUUGAAAUUUAUUAUUUUGUGAAAGUGAAUUUACCCUGUUGACAUUACUAUGUUAAAAGUUAUAUUACAAUGUCGCUUUUUGCAUGCGGUAACUGGAACUCGAUAACCAAUGUUAUUUGACUUGAAAAUAUACAUCCUAUUCGUGUUACCCUAAUGUGUAACUAGUGAUGUGCCGUUAAGUUAAAAUGUAUAUCCUCUGAUACAUAUAUUUUGUCGUCAAGAUCCUUAAGUGCAGAUACAUAUCUUAAUGGAUUUGGAUUUGAUGAAACAGUUGCAAUGUCCACAUUAGUGGCAUUUAUUAAAUAAUAAUUACUUUUAGAAUAGUUUAAUUCAAGUUUGAUUGACAGUUGCAUAAUAAAGAUGAAGGCAGUACCUACACAAUAAAAUGCUCGUUUUCAACUAAAACACACAUUUCAAAAAUAUUAAGAACUGUGAAUUCUAAUUUUAUAUUUGUUAAUAUUGAUUUAUUAUGAAAUAAAGUGUUUUUCGUCAUUACUUUUUUCUUGUGAAGUGCUGGACCCAAAAUAAUCGCUUUCCAUUUUUACUCCAAUCGCGAGACUUCGAAAUAAUAUCACACCAACGCCCGCGUCGCGGCAACAGGCACGACAUGUUUGACUUGCAUUGCGAGGUUCUUUCUUUUUAUAAUGUUGGUUAAAAAUGUCUACUUAGAAAUAGAUAUGCUAAAAGACUCGUUAACGUUCCCCCAAAAAAGUAACGGAUAGGGAUAUUUUGUUCUUCCUCGGAUAUCCGCGGAUAGGAUAUGGAUACACGGCACAUCACUAGUUACUGCAUAUUUUCAAUUAUCAAUAAACAUAAUUAAAAAAUCAAUUGAUUUAGUAUAGAGUUAAUGUUAUUAUUAAUAUAUAAAGAAAAUAUUACUAGAACGAUGCUAACGGAUGAGAUGACAUGUGAUAAUAGUUCGAAAUUAAGUAAUUAGUGUUAGUUUUAAAGUCUCUUUGAAAUUUCAUGAAUCUGCACAUCAGAUGUCAUAUAACACUUCAUAGGAGCAUUUAUGAUUUCAAUAUCAAUGGAGAAUUGAUGCAUAUACGAGGUAUACGUUCACAGAAUGUAUUUGAAUGUAUUAGAAUGCCCAAUGAGCAUAAAGAAAUAUUAUAUCACGUCAUUUUCCAGUUAUCUUAUUGGUUGAUUUGUGGUUCGGUCUAUUGCAAUUAUUUCUGAACGAUACUUUUUUGUUUAAAAUAAAUAGGGAUAGACAUAUACGUUUAUGUCCGCAAUAACUAUCAGCUGAUAAGGUGAGGUCAUUGUGAAAAAGUAUGAUUAAUGUUUACUGUGUAUACAUUUUUUUUAUUUAUUAUAAUAUUAUGUGUAAUGGCUACACCUUUAAUAUUAGGGUUCGUUUUAUCAGCAAUGGGGUUAGCACGCAAUAUUCCAAAGGGUAUGUCACCCUUAUUUAUUAAAAGAUGUAAAACUGAGACCAUAUUGUCGAGAAUCGUAAAUUGCGUCUUCUCUCCAAAAAUUACUUGUUUUCCUAAGUUUUACUUUUUUAAUGAAAAAGUUCUGUAUUAAACUAUUUUUUGAAUUGCUCCAAAAUCAUAAAACGGUUAUUAAAACCACAUCUAACUAACAUUACCUCAUCUUAAUAACAUGGUACGUAUUCCUUAUAUGAAAUUAAAUCUAGUCGCUAAAUUAUCAUAAAAAAUCACAAAUUACGUGCACAAAUGUGUAAAAAGAAAUCCUAUUAAAUGUACUUACCGUAAUUUGGUUUCUAUUAUUUUUAUUUCCAUCAUGAGAUUUCUGCAUAUCCCAAAAACAUAUCUGCUUCUAUGAAUUGGUAAAAGCACUCAAUAUUUGUAUCUAGCUUUUAAAAAGUGUUUAUAGAUAAAUUUUAUAUUAAUUUAAAUACUUGAACUUUUCUUAUGUUACGACUUUAAUUUUUUUUUGUACUUUAUUUUUUUUAUUUUUUUUCAUUUUGUAUUUCUAUAUAACUCGGCGUGGAAAUGCGAACGUGAAACCGAACGUCAUACUUUAAGUAAUAAAAUUAUAUUUAGCAACUACAAUCUACUUUUUUUGACAAGUUAUCCCUAAAAAUAGUUAAGGUACCCGCAAACUUAACAUACUGCUUAUUGACAGCAAUUACUAAUAAAAAAAAUAUUAUACUUUUUACAUCUCGUACUGUAUAGUGGUAAUUUAAAUGUAGAUUUGUAAUUUAAAUAGUAGUACGUAAAAAUAAAAUAAUCUACUUCCUAUAAAGAUGGAUAUGUGUGCAAUGUAUUGGUACAUGUAGACUUACUCAACAUUGCAUGUAGGCUAAUUAACAUCUUCAAAAACAUGUUAAGUCUUGAUACUGUGAAUAAAAAUUCCUAUUCUCGUCAUGAGCUUGAAAUGAGAAAAAUAUCCAACAAUUACAACCCUGCACAUGAACAAUGAGCAAAUAUAUAGUUAUAUACAUUUUAGGAAUAACUCAAUACCUAUUGAUGUUAUAAAAAAUAAAUAAAAUACGAAUAAAAGUGUGGACUCUCUACUGUUAAUACAUUUUAUGUAAUGUUGAAUAGUAUUCCGCCCGAUAGCCACGGUCGCCAUUAGAAAACGGACGAUAUUCGUUAGAUUAUUAAACUAUAAUAAAAUCUGUAUAAUCUUGACAUUUUGCUAGAUGUCAAGACUAGUCAAACGUACUCGUAACGAAUCACACGUAUUUUAUUGGCAGUAUAAACAAUUAACACGAUUUUGAAGAUGUUAAAUAGCCUAAUUUAGGUAUAGCUCUCGCCAUGCAAAUAGUCGUUAAAAUUAUCGUCAAACUGCGCAUUUAUAGCAGGUAUAAAUAAAACCCCUUCUGUAGUUCUAACAUGCGACCGAGUGAAGAGAAAUUGACAAAAUCGUCCAAUGGCGGUGGAGCUUCCCGUGCCCCAUCUCUUUUGUCCUAACGCAAUGAAAAAGAUAGUCGUAUUUCCGGAUGCACCGCCAUUGGUUGAAAUUUGAAUAUUAUCUCGUUGUUUGCAUGUUAGCGCAACUGAGAUAUGUCUUGUACACUGCCUCGUGUUAAGAGACGUUUAUUUGUUUGGCAAGAACUAUGUAUACGUAUUCUUAUAUACUUGUGUAUGUAUCAACUACGCCUCAACCACGAGACACACAUAGACACAUUAACACAGACAGGUCUGCGACGACGUCCGGAGAGAGCAACGAGACACGCAUAGCGGUUGCGAACCAGCGGGCGAACAAGCUGCUCAAAUCUUAAAACCUUUUACUCCUCGUCAAUGCAAAGGGAUGUCGUAUACAAGAUCAGUGUUGCCUGACUUUAAAAUUCAUUCGCUUUUUAAGUUUAUCGCAAAUUGCCAUAAAGCCAGAUGUAACGAUUUUUUUAUUAAUUUCAUUGAAAAGUCGCUAAAAUCAAAUCAAAUUAUUAGGUGCAUAUUUGGAUCCUAAAUUGAUUGUAAUACCUAAACUUUGAACUAAUGUAACAAUUAAAUGUAAUAACAAAAGUAUCUCAUGUAUUUUAAAAAAAAAUCGUUGUUUUUGGCUUUUUGGCACUAUGUUUAUUCGAUCGAGUUAUAAUUAUAACGAGAUUGACAAAAUAGUGUUGCCUGAUGUAAAUUUGUUCAAAGUUUGUAUUGCAUUUAAAUAUUUUUGUUAUCUAUUGUAAAUAAUCAACGAUUUUUUAAUUUAUAUUGUAUCUUAUUGAUUGUUAAUUAAUAUGUGUAAUAAUGCAUUUCUUCCAUAGUUAAUUCAAUUCUUAUAAUUGUUGAUUAUAAAAAUCCAUGAUAUUUUUUAUAAGUUCAUAAGGUAACGCCAUUUUGUGCAAUACUGGCAUGUGUAUUCAAAAUAAUUAUUUACUAUGAAAUAAAUAAUAAACUUUGAGAAAUUAUGCUUUAAUUUAUAGUAAGAUUUAUAACGAUAUACACGUGUCACUCUCGAGGCUAGAUUAUUUUAGUACGAGAUCUGGCAUAAGGAAUAUAUACCCUCAUCUGUUAUUUCAUUGGGUAAGAAAUAAAUGAUAAAAAUAUUCACAUUGACACAUUGCACAUAGGUUGUUAAAUUGCGGUCGAACAGUAUUAAAUGUUUUUUUUUUUUUUUAAUCUCAUCACCUCAUUGGUUAAUUAUAAAAAACGUACACUAGUUAAUAGAAUCUAUCCCAAAAGAAUUGAAAAAGUAACGGUUGCUUUCACUCUGCAACUGUGGGGUUGCCAGAUAUAAACAGUUAAUUAAAAUGUUAUUUAAAUACCCUCAUCAGUUAUUUAGUCGUCUAAUAUGUCAAAUGAAAUUUAUUAAUAUAUCCUUAAUAUCCUUAAUUUAACUGAAUUAAGUUGUUUUUGAUAGUUCAUGGUUCCAUAGAUUUUGUAUGAAAAAUGUGUGUGUUCGCAAUUUAACAAGGCAACCUAUUUGCAAUGUGUCACUGUAAACAUUAUCUAUCAUUUAUUUCAUAGCACUAAUGAAUAACAGAUGAGGGUAUAUAUUUCUAAUGCCGGCUCUUAGACCAUUUAUAGAGGAAGAUUAGUCAGGCAAAAACUACGCUACCAUACUAAUAACUAUGUUUGUGGUAAUAUUAUCAGAGAUUAUUUUUUUAUGUGUUUAAGUUAAAGUAUUACCUACAUAACCUCUUCUUUCUGAACACGCUUUAUUGGGCAUUAUUAUAAAGUUAAUUAUUUUUUCAAACGUAUUUGUACUAUAAAAUACCUAUUUGUAUUAUGUAUUAACUUUAUGUUGAGAUUUUUGUAAUAGGUACAGUUCAAUCCCCUUUUUAAAUAGCUUUAAAAUAUUUCAUGACUUAUUUUGUUUGUUUUUUUAUUUAGGUAAUGUGCCAAAGUUCCUUUUACAUCAACAAAAUUAUUAACUUUUUUUUUAUUAUUAUGGAAACUUCAAAUUUCAUAGUGAACGUAAGAGAUUUAAUAAGCUUUUAAAAUAGUUUGCUCGGAACAAUAAUAAAGUAUGUACCAAUAUAGCUCAAAUAUAGUAGAGAACACAGAUAUUUUCGAUAGACCCUAAAAUAUGAUAGAAUACCGUAAUCCGCUGAUAUUUCUCGAACCGCAUUUAAAAAAGUAUCCUAUAAUUAUUAUAGAAAAAUUUAAUAUCUAAAAAAUAGUGAGAUCGACAAUGUUAAUAUAUUGCUGUUUAAAUAUUGCAUAUUUGUAAUUAUUAAAUUUAAAAAAAAAAAAACAAUUUACUUUUUACCUUCUAAAUAAAGUGAAAAAUUUCGUUGUAAUAAUUAGCUCUUAAUAAUUACUAUAUCAAUUACAGUUAUUAUUACAAACGUUGUAAUAUGAUUACGGUAAUAUGCAAUAGUAAUAUAUUUUAAUAGUUGAGCAGUUAAAUAUUUAUUACUUAAAGUACAUAUAUUGUUGUAAGUGUAUUUGAGGGCAGUUCACACGAAUCUUCUCAGCCGCUGCGUUUUAGAAUGACAAAGAGGAAGCCGCUGUUUUGACUGAAAUAUUUAGAACCUAGGUAACUGUGAUAAAUAUAACCUCAAAUGGUUCGUCUAAAGAUACCUUUUCGCUUUAUUGUCAAUCGUACUCUUGAAUUUGCCUAGACGCUCUCCGCGCAUCUCGAUUAUAUCUCCCAAAUAAAAAGGAGAAUUUAAAUUUAGUUGGACAUGUUUUAUUAGAUAUUUUGUUAUAUUAUACUAUCAUCCGUAAGUUUUAAAAUUUUGUCUUCGUUCAUACAGUUUAGUUCUAAGAGUCAAUAAAACGGAUGCGAGUUUCUAUCCAUUUUCAUCUUCAUCUCGUUUUGACUUGCAGUAACUGUCAAAACUGGCUAUCAUCAAGUCAUUUGUGUCAUGAUCAUGUUAACUAUUUGUUCUAGUCUUUCUAGUCCAACUUUGUAACUUAAUAUCACUUGAAUUAACCGUAAUAAGCAGAUUAAUUAUUCUCGAUAGCAUUUGUUGGGUGUUUCUAAACGCACGGUUGAGUGAAUCCGUGUGAACACGGCCUCGUAUCGUUGUACCGGCCUUAGAAGUAAUGAAUAUAGGAAUGUUAAAGAUGAUGGCUUGACUAUACUCGUGUACAGGGCGCCACGGAAAAUAGCUUCAAUGUUCUCAAAUAAAUCGAAAUUGUAUUCACAAAUUUUACAUUGUAGAAUAUCGAAAAACAUGUGGCUCCCUGUACAAGCGUUAGAUUUAAGAAUUUUCGAAAUUUCUCUACGUCUUUCUCGAUCGUCUUAGUUUAAGUGUAAAGCGGGUCAUUUGACCCGUGCGUUUUUGAUCUAAGUACAUAUUCCAGUAAUGAAUAAACUUAUAUUUUAACCGUAUUUAUAACAUAUAGACCAGUGUUGUUAAGAUCAAUUUAAUCAAUAGAUGUGUAUACCGCCUGCGCAAAAAUAUAUUCGUUUAUAUUCAGCCUAAUAUUUGUCUACUUACAGUAAAAUUACAUAGAAAAACGUCUAUUUUUCUUUAUGAAUAGAAUAGUUAGUAUAAAAGUGUUAAUUUUUAAUUAAAUUAUUUAUUUGUUAAUAUUACCUAUAA
This is an RNA transcript of Bicyclus anynana (squinting bush brown), 9125 nucleotides long. It is a transcript of the gene named synaptosomal-associated protein 25, with no coding region annotated. The transcript is spliced from 9 exons. The record is from RefSeq and is a predicted model, not a curated record. NCBI's taxonomy places the organism in Eukaryota, Metazoa, Arthropoda, Insecta, Lepidoptera, Nymphalidae.